This 468-nucleotide ribosomal RNA is filed under the name uncultured bacterium. RNAcentral's name for it is "partial 16S ribosomal RNA". It matches the Rfam family "Bacterial small subunit ribosomal RNA", at positions 28 to 507 of the family's 1533-position model. The record is from RNAcentral.
GAUGAACGCUGGCGGCGUGCUUAACACAUGCAAGUCGAACGGUGAAGGCGGAGCUUGCUCUGCUGGAUCAGUGGCGAACGGGUGAGUAACACGUGAGCAAUCUGCCCCUGACUCUGGGAUAAGCGCUGGAAACGGCGUCUAAUACUGGAUACGAGCUGCGAAGGCAUCUUCAGCAGCUGGAAAGAACUUCGGUCAGGGAUGAGCUCGCGGCCUAUCAGCUUGUUGGUGAGGUAACGGCUCACCAAGGCGUCGACGGGUAGCCGGCCUGAGAGGGUGACCGGCCACACUGGGACUGAGACACGACCCAGACUCCUACGGGAGGCAGCAGUGGGGAAUAUUGCACAAUGGGCGAAAGCCUGAUGCAGCAACGCCGCGUGAGGGACGACGGCCUUCGGGUUGUAAACCUCUUUUAGCAGGGAAGAAGCGAAAGUGACGGUACCUGCAGAAAAAGCGCCGGCUAACUACGUG